GGGUUGUGAGGUUAAGCGACUAAGCGUACACGGUGGAUGCCCUGGCAGUCAGAGGCGAUGAAGGGCGUGCUAAUCUGCGAUAAGCGCCGGUAAGGUGAUAUGAACCGUUAUAACCGGCGAUACCCGAAUGGGGAAACCCAGUGUGAUUCGUCACACUAUCAUUAACUGAAUCCAUAGGUUAAUGAGGCGAACCGGGGGAACUGAAACAUCUAAGUACCCCGAGGAAAAGAAAUCAACCGAGAUUCCCCCAGUAGCGGCGAGCGAACGGGGAGGAGCCCAGAGCCUGAAUCAGCAUGUGUGUUAGUGGAAGCGUCUGGAAAGGCGCGCGAUACAGGGUGACAGCCCCGUACACAAAAGCGCAUGUGCUGUGAGCUCGAUGAGUAGGGCGGGACACGUGGUAUCCUGUCUGAAUAUGGGGGGACCAUCCUCCAAGGCUAAAUACUCCUGACUGACCGAUAGUGAACCAGUACCGUGAGGGAAAGGCGAAAAGAACCCCGGCGAGGGGAGUGAAAAAGAACCUGAAACCGUGUACGUACAAGCAGUGGGAGCACAGGUUUACCUGUGUGACUGCGUACCUUUUGUAUAAUGGGUCAGCGACUUAUAUUCUGUAGCAAGGUUAACCGAAUAGGGGAGCCGGAGGGAAACCGAGUCUUAAUUGGGCGUUAAGUUGCAGGGUAUAGACCCGAAACCCGGUGAUCUAGCCAUGGGCAGGUUGAAGGUUGGGUAACACUAACUGGAGGACCGAACCGACUAAUGUUGAAAAAUUAGCGGAUGACCUGUGGCUGGGGGUGAAAGGCCAAUCAAACCGGGAGAUAGCUGGUUCUCCCCGAAAGCUAUUUAGGUAGCGCCUCGUGAAUUCAUCUCCGGGGGUAGAGCACUGUUUCGGCUAGGGGGCCAUCCCGGCUUACCAACCCGAUGCAAACUGCGAAUACCGGAGAAUGUUAUCACGGGAGACACACGGCGGGUGCUAACGUCCGUCGUGAAGAGGGAAACAACCCAGACCGCCAGCUAAGGUCCCAAAGUCAUGGUUAAGUGGGAAACGAUGUGGGAAGGCCCAGACAGCCAGGAUGUUGGCUUAGAAGCAGCCAUCAUUUAAAGAAAGCGUAAUAGCUCACUGGUCGAGUCGGCCUGCGCGGAAGAUGUAACGGGGCUAAACCAUGCACCGAAGCUGCGGCAGCGAACGUAUCACUUAAAGCGAUUCAGCGGGUUACGAUUGACGGAGCGAAGCGACGUCAAAGCGUAUACAAAGUCGAGUCGGUUUAAGGAUACGUUCGUUGGGUAGGGGAGCGUUCUGUAAGCCUGUGAAGGUGGCCUGUGAGGGUUGCUGGAGGUAUCAGAAGUGCGAAUGCUGACAUAAGUAACGAUAAAGCGGGUGAAAAGCCCGCUCGCCGGAAGACCAAGGGUUCCUGUCCAACGUUAAUCGGGGCAGGGUGAGUCGACCCCUAAGGCGAGGCCGAAAGGCGUAGUCGAUGGGAAACGGGUUAAUAUUCCCGUACUUGGUGUUACUGCGAAGGGGGGACGGAGAAGGCUAUGUUGGCCGGGCGACGGUUGUCCCGGUUUAAGCGUGUAGGCUGGUUUUCCAGGCAAAUCCGGAAAAUCAAGGCUGAGGCGUGAUGACGAGGCACUACGGUGCUGAAGCAACAAAUGCCCUGCUUCCAGGAAAAGCCUCUAAGCAUCAGGUAACAUCAAAUCGUACCCCAAACCGACACAGGUGGUCAGGUAGAGAAUACCAAGGCGCUUGAGAGAACUCGGGUGAAGGAACUAGGCAAAAUGGUGCCGUAACUUCGGGAGAAGGCACGCUGACACGUAGGUGAAGUGAUUUACUCAUGGAGCUGAAGUCAGUCGAAGAUACCAGCUGGCUGCAACUGUUUAUUAAAAACACAGCACUGUGCAAACACGAAAGUGGACGUAUACGGUGUGACGCCUGCCCGGUGCCGGAAGGUUAAUUGAUGGGGUCAGCGCAAGCGAAGCUCCUGAUCGAAGCCCCGGUAAACGGCGGCCGUAACUAUAACGGUCCUAAGGUAGCGAAAUUCCUUGUCGGGUAAGUUCCGACCUGCACGAAUGGCGUAAUGAUGGCCAGGCUGUCUCCACCCGAGACUCAGUGAAAUUGAACUCGCUGUGAAGAUGCAGUGUACCCGCGGCAAGACGGAAAGACCCCGUGAACCUUUACUAUAGCUUGACACUGAACAUUGAGCCUUGAUGUGUAGGAUAGGUGGGAGGCUUUGAAGUGUGGACGCCAGUCUGCAUGGAGCCGACCUUGAAAUACCACCCUUUAAUGUUUGAUGUUCUAACGUGGACCCGU
This 2302-nucleotide ribosomal RNA is filed under the name Salmonella enterica subsp. enterica serovar Anatum. RNAcentral describes it as "partial 23S ribosomal RNA". It matches the Rfam family "Bacterial large subunit ribosomal RNA", at positions 1 to 2236 of the family's 2925-position model. The record is from RNAcentral. Lineage: Bacteria; Pseudomonadati; Pseudomonadota; Gammaproteobacteria; Enterobacterales; Enterobacteriaceae.